AGGACGAUUGCAGGAAUCUGUCUCUUCUGUAUCCUCUCAUUCCAGCUCACAAAGACUCCUAGUCGUAUGUUUCCCGAUCGUCACAGGAUCCAUGCCUCGCCACAGCUGCUCAUUCAAUUUCCCAAAAUGGCCGCUCCCAUCUAUAGCCGGCGUUGUGACCUUUUACCCAGAUUCCAAACACAGAACAUCUGUAAAUCUCAGUGCAGCCCCCAGACGUAGUCAUGUACGAGGGGAUGGAAAGAGCGAUAAAGGGAGAAAGAAAGCAAGAAAAAAAACAGGAGUGGAGGUGGAGGCCGGUGAGAUGGAGGAGACACUUCAACUGAAGAGUGAAUGUGAAUGGGGCCUGUUCUGGGAAAAAUGUGGGUAACUGGCACACAGCCUCUUACUGUCAAGUGCUAAGCAGCUGGUGGCUUGGAGAAGGAAAAGGAAAGAGGGCUUGAGUUACAAAGUGUUCUUCUAGAACAGCAGGGGUUCUGACCCAUUACUGUACCACGGCAGCUGUGCGCUAUUUAGUAUUGACAUUUCAGCAGAAAUUAUACACUUAUGUCUCUUUUCUGUUCAGGACAAAAGACUGGAUGUUUGUUGGAAAAUGCCCACUCUCCAGACACCCUGUUGUGAAACGUAGAGUGUAAAGCACAAAGCUUUUUUUUUACUGCAGAGAUAGUUCUUAGUCCUGCCUCUGUUAUUUCUUUGGGUCAUUUAUUUAAAUUCCCCUCAUGUCAAAAAGGUGUUUUUCCUUUCCUUCAGCUGAAUGUUUGAGCCUCACUGUGUAUAAUGAUGUAUGGGCAGUAUGUGAGUUUGACACUAAUAAAUUGAAUAAUUAAAGUGUAAAUUGUCCCGGUGCAUUGAAUCUCAAAUUUUAAGAAGCUGGGGUACGAGCAUGAUUUUUAUGACAUCACAAAUAGUUUGGAGCCAAUCCUGGUCCAAUAGUUAGCAUACCAAAGCUUGAGCUGGAAGCUUGAAGCCUUUUGUGCACCUAUACUGAGACUGGACUUUACAAUGAAGUAGGACACAUCUCGUGUUAAACUUGUGCAAUUAACAUUUUUUCUUUUAAUUGAUCUUCUCAUUGGACGCUCAGGUACAGUGCAAACAAGUGUUGAUCCCAGAAUGUCAAACUAUUCUUUUAAGUUAGUGUUCUUUGGUGAAAGGUGUUAUAGUAUCUCUGGUUGCCGACUGAGACGAGAGCUUAACAGGGAGAACAAAAGGAGUUUGACAGAGAGUUUUUCUAAACCAAGACAUUUAAUGGGAAAGCCACCUAUACAGUUCGAGAAUGAUCAGUUGUCACAUUUAGCUAAUGACUUCUGACCAUCUGUUGUUUGUUGAGUCUCUAAUGAGCGCCCUGAUCCAC
This 1348-nucleotide long non-coding RNA is filed under the name Sparus aurata (gilthead seabream). RNAcentral describes it as "lncRNA (ENSSAUG00010003242.1)". The record is from RNAcentral. Lineage: Eukaryota; Metazoa; Chordata; Actinopteri; Spariformes; Sparidae.